CUCCUCCACCAAGAACUUCGUCUUCAGCCAGCAUCGCCUCACUCAAAAGAGUCGUAUAUGAUAUCCGAUGAGCGGCGCUGCCAGGAAAGCCAUUGAGCUGAGCAGUGAGGUAUGUGGCCGCGACAGUCCGCUCUCCACAGUGGAAGGCCCGACUUCAAAGCCUCUCUUCAUCCCUCGACCAACUGUGGUCGGGCAGCCAAAGUGUCAGUGGGUGUUGGUGUUAUUGAUUGGAGUGGAUGUGACCUCUGAAGGAUCUUCCUCCAGUCAAGCAGAGUGGAGUUAAUCCUGAGCGACAGGAUCCAACAUUCUGCCCUCCACGUCAUUCUUCCUCUCACCAUCCUUUCAACAUGUUGGUCACACAUGCAAAACGAACAGAUACACCUGCUGACGCGCAUGUUCUUACACACCUUUAAGCAAAACAGAAGCGCUGUAAUCAUGAAUCACUGCUCGCAAGUGUCUUUAAAUCAGUUAGUAACUCCGCUCUCAGCACCGUUUGAAAUGAAACUUUUAAUUAUUCAUAGCUGCUGAAUGUGUGGAGCAGUCUUCUGUGGCUGAGAAGCUACCCAGAGCAGAGAUAUCAAUGUCGGAGCGGAGGAUUAAAUAUUAAAUAUCAGCUAUUAGCUCCAGACUGAAAUUCUCAGCAGCGCUUCCUCUUCUGGCAUAAAAAGCUCACUCAUCUGCGCUGUCAGAUGAAAGCUUCGCGUCUCUGAAAACUGUUACACAUGGUAUCCAAAAAGUCAGUGUCUCUGGCAGUAAGGAAAACAGCCUCAUCUUUGGAUUGAAGGCAGUGCAUUUCUGCAUUUGUACCGACUGUAUUCAGGUGAAACAAAAGAGGGCACAGAGAGUGUCCAGUCACCGCUCUAUUUUUACCUCAGUGGCGGCAUCAGAGCUGUGAGAGGGCGAGACAUCGGACAUGUGAGGGUCGGACAUAUAAUGGCAGUCAGUGUGCAGGGGUAAAACGAGUGUUGCUAAAUGUGUUCAAAAUCUCAAGUAUUCCUCCUUUAUUUGCUCUGAGUAUUGGCCUGGAUUCUUAAUGUUACUUGGAACCAAUUUAACAUCCCAUAAUAAGAAUCAGACGCAGGUGCAGCUUUUCUCUGACUGAAUAUGAAAAAAGAAACAUUGGAUACAAAAAAGGGACAUCAGUUACUUAAGUUGCUGAACACGAAUGAGACACAAAAAAUUAUAUUGUGCUGUAAUAUUGAGGUUCACAGUUCAUUCGUGAUCCUGUAAACCACUGCAAGGAUACAACAACAUGAUCAUCACAAUAUACUAGCUACAGCCGUGUUAUACACCUGAUGUUCAGUUAGGUUUCUGCAAGAGAGCUAUACGGUCGGGUCAAGGCAUCAAAACUACUUCGUUAGGUUUAGGAAAACAUCCUUGUUUGGGUUGAAAUAACUGUCACUGAUAUAACUUCAGUUACCAACGUACAUACAUUAAUAUAAGUGGCUGCAAUUAUGUAUUGUAUGUAUUCACUAUAUUAAUAGACAAACAAACAGUUGUCUCCUGGGUGAAAACUCUGUGCUUGUUUACCCAACCACACAGUACAUCCCUACACUAGUUGAGGUCACUGCCUAACAAGAAAUGUCAAUAUGGGUCAUUAUCAGCUGCUUUCAUGGUUGACUUUUUGUUUUUUUUUUUCCAAUGAGGAUGUCCUUUGAUUGGACCAUGUGAAGAGAUUGUUUUCACACCCUCUGUAAUAUAGUUUUCAUUUUUAGGGUUUGGAAAUUAACGAGUAUUGUUGUCUUUAAAUUCAACGUUGGUCUACAAGUCUACACAGGCUAAACAUUGAGCACACAGACCAACACAUCUUCCUGAAUUUCUUUGGUCAGGUAGCAAUAACUAAUUUCAAAUAAUAAUGAUUUUUUUUUUUUUUAAAAAGUGUGUAAGUUACAUUGUCAUAAUAAACUCAACAGGGGCCGACAGCUCAUUGUGCCUCUGGGUUAUUGCUUUAAUCUCUGUCUAGACAAUCCAAAUGGGGGCGAUCUCUAAUGACUCAAGCCUUUUAAAUUCCUCUCUUGCAGAUAAGAGCUAUUACGAGAGCAGGUAAUCACUGACUCUGUGAAUGAGCUGUAAAAGCAUCAAGUUUUUCACAGCCCUCAAACCAGCUGAGCUUCCCAAGAAAGUGCAGCCAUCGGUGGUCUAGUUGUAGAUUCUCAUGGUGGUAUCAGUGUAUGUCACCUGAUUAACAGUUAUUUCUAGCCCAGAACCCCCUCCAUGGCCUGUCCCUCUUGAAGCAGACAAGAGAGACAGGCCAUGUCAGUCAAUAAGCAACUAAACAAGUAACCAAGAGCUCUCAUUUAAUACCCCUUUCAAAUUAAAACUCCAAUAUAGUGCAGGUUUCAGGAAACUUAUUAUCCACUAAAUGGGGAACAGGGUACAUUAGGACUAAAAGCCUGUCUGGAUUAAAAGCAUUGUUCUCUCUGCUGUUGAGGAGACUAAUUAAGUUCACUUUUUUAAACACGCAGUAUGUAAUUUCUUCUGCUCAAGGUGUCAAUCGAAACAAAACAAAAGCUGUGACUAGCAUGGAAUCAUAGAAUUAUUUGUUCGUGUUGUCAACAUUGCUGAUAAAAAUCCAUCUGACGUGACUCUGGACGAGAUGUGUUCUUUGGGAUGUGUUUGGGAUGUCAUUCACCAACUUCCUUCAUCACUCCUGAGUCUCUCCUGGAAGUUAAUGUGACAGGCGACUGAAUGACACACACUGCUAAAUUGAGUAAAAUUACAGACCGAGGUCGAACAUUUCUGGAAACAUUUGGGAUAGUGUAAGUAUUCACUGACUCAGUCACGCUCGUUGUCUCCAUUUUAGUUUGUAGACAUGAGUUAAGACUUCUGAAUGUUUUGGGUUGGGAAAAAGUUUGUUUUUAUGAUUUA
Acanthopagrus latus (yellowfin seabream) is the source of this 2868-nucleotide long non-coding RNA. RefSeq lists it as uncharacterized. The record is from RefSeq and is a predicted model, not a curated record. NCBI's taxonomy places the organism in Eukaryota, Metazoa, Chordata, Actinopteri, Spariformes, Sparidae. The transcript is spliced from 3 exons.